RNAcentral lists this small nucleolar RNA (80 nucleotides) under Carlito syrichta (Philippine tarsier). Its description in RNAcentral is "Small nucleolar RNA SNORD115 (ENSTSYG00000028109.1)". It matches the Rfam family "Small nucleolar RNA SNORD115". From Rfam's summary of the family: HBII-52 is a member of the C/D class of snoRNAs, which contain the C (UGAUGA) and D (CUGA) box motifs. HBII-52 is encoded in a tandemly repeated array with another C/D snoRNA, HBII-85, in the Prader-Willi syndrome (PWS) region of chromosome 15. HBII-52 is exclusively expressed in the brain but is absent in PWS patients. Lineage: Eukaryota; Metazoa; Chordata; Mammalia; Primates; Tarsiidae. The record is from Rfam by way of RNAcentral.
GGUCAAUGAUGACAUUCUUGCCUUGUCUGUAGAGAGGUGUUGUGUUAAAAUUCAUGUGCAAUAGAGUUACACUGAGGACC